This 86-nucleotide transfer RNA is filed under the name Candidatus Woesearchaeota archaeon. RNAcentral describes it as "tRNA-Phe". It matches the Rfam family "tRNA". Rfam says of the family: Transfer RNA (tRNA) molecules are approximately 80 nucleotides in length. Their secondary structure includes four short double-helical elements and three loops (D, anti-codon, and T loops). Lineage: Archaea; Nanobdellati; Candidatus Woesearchaeota. The record is from RNAcentral.
GCCGGGGUCGCAUAGGCUGGCUAUUGCGCCUGCCUGAAAAGCAGGUGACUCACCAAGUCACACGGGUUCGAAUCCCGUCCCCGGCG